GCCUGAUUAGCAUAGUGGCUAAUGCGUCGCACUUGUAUCGUGGACCCCUCACUAAAAGGUUUCCUCUUACGACAUGCGAAGAUCACAGGUUCAAUUCCUGUAUCAGGCA
Achaetomium macrosporum is the source of this 109-nucleotide non-coding RNA. The record is from the annotation of a GenBank genome assembly. NCBI's taxonomy places the organism in Eukaryota, Fungi, Ascomycota, Sordariomycetes, Sordariales, Chaetomiaceae.